This 1322-nucleotide ribosomal RNA is filed under the name Staphylococcus sp. Its description in RNAcentral is "bacterial SSU rRNA". It matches the Rfam family "Bacterial small subunit ribosomal RNA", at positions 54 to 1358 of the family's 1533-position model. Lineage: Bacteria; Bacillati; Bacillota; Bacilli; Caryophanales; Staphylococcaceae. The record is from RNAcentral.
CAUGCAGUCGAGCGAACAGACGAGGAGCUUGCUCCUCUGACGUUAGCGGCGGACGGGUGAGUAACACGUGGAUAACCUACCUAUAAGACUGGGAUAACUUCGGGAAACCGGAGCUAAUACCGGAUAAUAUAUUGAACCGCAUGGUUCAAUAGUGAAAGACGGUUUUGCUGUCACUUAUAGAUGGAUCCGCGCCGCAUUAGCUAGUUGGUAAGGUAACGGCUUACCAAGGCAACGAUGCGUAGCCGACCUGAGAGGGUGAUCGGCCACACUGGAACUGAGACACGGUCCAGACUCCUACGGGAGGCAGCAGUAGGGAAUCUUCCGCAAUGGGCGAAAGCCUGACGGAGCAACGCCGCGUGAGUGAUGAAGGUCUUCGGAUCGUAAAACUCUGUUAUUAGGGAAGAACAAAUGUGUAAGUAACUAUGCACGUCUUGACGGUACCUAAUCAGAAAGCCACGGCUAACUACGUGCCAGCAGCCGCGGUAAUACGUAGGUGGCAAGCGUUAUCCGGAAUUAUUGGGCGUAAAGCGCGCGUAGGCGGUUUUUUAAGUCUGAUGUGAAAGCCCACGGCUCAACCGUGGAGGGUCAUUGGAAACUGGAAAACUUGAGUGCAGAAGAGGAAAGUGGAAUUCCAUGUGUAGCGGUGAAAUGCGCAGAGAUAUGGAGGAACACCAGUGGCGAAGGCGACUUUCUGGUCUGUAACUGACGCUGAUGUGCGAAAGCGUGGGGAUCAAACAGGAUUAGAUACCCUGGUAGUCCACGCCGUAAACGAUGAGUGCUAAGUGUUAGGGGGUUUCCGCCCCUUAGUGCUGCAGCUAACGCAUUAAGCACUCCGCCUGGGGAGUACGACCGCAAGGUUGAAACUCAAAGGAAUUGACGGGGACCCGCACAAGCGGUGGAGCAUGUGGUUUAAUUCGAAGCAACGCGAAGAACCUUACCAAAUCUUGACAUCCUCUGACCCCUCUAGAGAUAGAGUUUUCCCCUUCGGGGGACAGAGUGACAGGUGGUGCAUGGUUGUCGUCAGCUCGUGUCGUGAGAUGUUGGGUUAAGUCCCGCAACGAGCGCAACCCUUAAGCUUAGUUGCCAUCAUUAAGUUGGGCACUCUAAGUUGACUGCCGGUGACAAACCGGAGGAAGGUGGGGAUGACGUCAAAUCAUCAUGCCCCUUAUGAUUUGGGCUACACACGUGCUACAAUGGACAAUACAAAGGGYAGCGAAACCGCGAGGUCAAGCAAAUCCCAUAAAGUUGUUCUCAGUUCGGAUUGUAGUCUGCAACUCGACUAUAUGAAGCUGGAAUCGCUAGUAAUCGUAGAUCAGCAUGCA